UGGUGUUGUGGCUGAAUUGUCGGGAACAAAUGCUGCUGCAGGCGCCAUCGGCGCGGCGAGUGGAGAACUCGCUGCACGUGCUAUUCGUGAAUAUUUA
RNAcentral lists this transfer RNA (97 nucleotides) under Pectobacterium carotovorum subsp. carotovorum. Its description in RNAcentral is "tRNA-Cys". Lineage: Bacteria; Pseudomonadati; Pseudomonadota; Gammaproteobacteria; Enterobacterales; Pectobacteriaceae. The record is from RNAcentral.